UACGUAGGGUGCGAGCGUUAAUCGGAAUUACUGGGCGUAAAGCGUGCGCAGGCGGUUGUGCAAGACAGAUGUGAAAUCCCCGGGCUUAACCUGGGAACUGCAUUUGUGACUGCACGGCUAGAGUGUGUCAGAGGGGGGUAGAAUUCCACGUGUAGCAGUGAAAUGCGUAGAUAUGUGGAGGAAUACCGAUGGCGAAGGCAGCCCCCUGGGAUAACACUGACGCUCAUGCACAAAAGCGUGGGGAGCAAACAGG
This 253-nucleotide ribosomal RNA is filed under the name uncultured bacterium. Its description in RNAcentral is "partial 16S ribosomal RNA". It matches the Rfam family "Bacterial small subunit ribosomal RNA", at positions 524 to 776 of the family's 1533-position model. The record is from RNAcentral.